AUAAUGGAAGCAAUUUGUAACUUUCAGUAGCUCUCUAGGCCUGGGUACCGGAAGGAGGGAGGCGGGCAGAGGAGGGGAGAUGGGCGCCCCAAGUCCUUCCAUCCUCCUCAUUCGUCUAGGGGCAUCCGGAUCCCCUGUUUCUUAUUUCCCCUAUCACCCAGGCACUGGCAGGGUCCUUUGCCCACUCCUGUUGGCCACGGCGGCUCCAAAGCGAGAUGUGCCUGAGACAGGUUGGACUUGGCAACUGAAAAGACAUCCCUGAGAGACGACAAAGCUCAGGUGUGAAUGGAAUGUGCAUCCCAGCUGACCAGGUGGAACAGAGCUGCCUGCUGUCUGGAACUGCGUCCUCCCAGACUAAGUGAGAAAUAAACUUCUCUUUUCUA
This is a long non-coding RNA of Saimiri boliviensis boliviensis (Bolivian squirrel monkey), 383 nucleotides long. RefSeq lists it as uncharacterized. The record is from RefSeq and is a predicted model, not a curated record. Lineage: Eukaryota; Metazoa; Chordata; Mammalia; Primates; Cebidae.